Molecule: ribosomal RNA, 403 nt
Filed under: bacterium
Lineage: Bacteria
Description: partial 16S ribosomal RNA
Rfam family: Bacterial small subunit ribosomal RNA
Source: RNAcentral
UGGGGAAUAUUGCACAAUGGCGGGAACUCUUAUGCCUCGCCGCCGCGUGAACGAAGAAGGCUUUCGAGUCGUAAAGUUCUUUUAUAUGGGAAGAUAAUGACGGUACCAUAAGAAAAAGCCCCGGCUAACUACGUGCCAGCAGCCGUGGUAAUACGUAGGGGGCUAGCGUUGUCCGGAAUCACUGGGCGUAAAGGGUUCGCAGGCGGAAAUGCAAGUCAGGUGUAAAAGGCAGUAGCUUAACUACUGUAAGCAUUUGAAACUGCAUAUCUUGAGAAGAGUAGAGGUAAGUGGAAUUUUUAGUGUAGCGGUGAAAUGCGUAGAUAUUAAAAAGAAUACCGGUGGCGAAGGCGGCUUACUGGGCUCAUUCUGACGCUGAGGAACGAAAGCGUGGGUAGCAAACAGG